RNAcentral lists this ribosomal RNA (301 nucleotides) under uncultured bacterium. Its description in RNAcentral is "partial 16S ribosomal RNA". It matches the Rfam family "Bacterial small subunit ribosomal RNA", at positions 509 to 807 of the family's 1533-position model. The record is from RNAcentral.
CAGUAGCCGCGGUAACACAGAGGGUGCGAGCGUUAAUCGGAUUUACUGGGCGUAAAGCGUGCGUAGGCGGCUAAUUGAGUCGGAUGUGAAAUCCCCGAGCUUAACUUGGGAAUUGCAUUCGAUACUGGUUAGCUAGAGUGUGGGAGAGGAUGGUAGAAUUCCAGGUGUAGCGGUGAAAUGCGUAGAGAUCUGGAGGAAUACCGAUGGCGAAGGCAGCCAUCUGGCCUAACACUGACGCUGAGGUACGAAAGCAUGGGGAGCAAACAGGAUUAGAUACCCCCGUAGUCCCUGUCUCUUAUAC